CCGAAUUCGUCGACAACAGAGUUUGAUCCUGGCUCAGGAUGAACGCUGGCGGCGUGCCUAAUACAUGCAAGUUGAGCGAAUGGAUUAAGAGCUUGCUCUUAUGAAGUUAGCGGCGGACGGGUGAGUAACACGUGGGUAACCUGCCCAUAAGACUGGGAUAACUCCGGGAAACCGGGGCUAAUACCGGAUAACAUUUUGAACUGCAUGGUUCGAAAUUGAAAGGUGGCUUCGGCUGUCACUUAUGGAUGGACCCGCGUCGCAUUAGCUAGUUGGUGAGGUAACGGCUCACCAAGGCAACGAUGCGUAGCCGACCUGAGAGGGUGAUCGGCCACACUGGGACUGAGACACGGCCCAGACUCCUACGGGAGGCAGCAGUAGGGAAUCUUCCGCAAUGGACGAAAGUCUGACGGAGCAACGCCGCGUGAGUGAUGAAGGCUUUCGGGUCGUAAAACUCUGUUGUUAGGGAAGAACAAGUGCUAGUUGAAUAAGCUGGCACCUUGACGGUACCUAACCAGAAAGCCACGGCUAACUACGUGCCAGCAGCCGCGGUAAUACGUAGGUGGCAAGCGG
Molecule: ribosomal RNA, 570 nt
Filed under: Bacillus sp. 'Mali 230'
Lineage: Bacteria; Bacillati; Bacillota; Bacilli; Caryophanales; Bacillaceae
Description: partial 16S ribosomal RNA
Rfam family: Bacterial small subunit ribosomal RNA
Source: RNAcentral